Molecule: long non-coding RNA, 703 nt
Organism: Rhinichthys klamathensis goyatoka
Lineage: Eukaryota; Metazoa; Chordata; Actinopteri; Cypriniformes; Leuciscidae
Exons: 2
Source: RefSeq, a predicted model, not a curated record
GUGGGAAGUUCGGAUCAUUUUACUGACUCGGAUCUUUGAGUCUCGUUCAGCAAAAUGAACGAAUCUUUUUUCGAGUCAUUUCGUUCAUUUCGUUCAUUUCAGCAUAAUAUAAUUAAAAUGGCAUGUUAAAUAUCCCAACACAUCUAGAACUUACGAAAAUGUUGAUUACAUUUGUAAAAAGAAUAAAAAAAAAUUAUAGGGUAAUGCAGCCAAAGCCAAAUUAUAAGAAACCGAAAUUUUUAUGAAUUGAUUAGUUGUUGGGUUUUAAGUUCAGGCUAUUGCAGUCUGAUUCUGUUAGUUCACCUCACCUCCUCAUCCGAGACGUUCUUUCCUUUGCAACUUCAUAUUUAUCAGGUUUGUUCUCCUCCUUUUGUGUCUCAAAACGUUAGUUGUCGACUCGUCAGUGUCUGACUCUGAUCUGUCUGCUGGGCCGUGCCGUGUGUGAUACAGCAGGGCCGGAAAGAGUAAUGAUUAGAGUUGCUAUGCUGUCAGUACCGGAAAGAGUAAUGAUUAGUUCAUUUUCUUCGAGUCUUCGGGUUUGAGUCCUUCGUUCUUUUGUCACGUGACCGCUGGUAUCUCGCAUCAAAUACAAUAUUAGAUUCGUAUUAUUGACUGCGUCUGAAUGUAUAUUGUUUUAUAUUUAGGAAUUAAAAUACAAAAUAUGUGAAAUAAACAUUAUCUGAAAAAUAAAAGUUCCAUCUUA